Long non-coding RNA from Hyla sarda, 411 nucleotides. RefSeq lists it as uncharacterized. The transcript has 4 exons. NCBI's taxonomy places the organism in Eukaryota, Metazoa, Chordata, Amphibia, Anura, Hylidae. The record is from RefSeq and is a predicted model, not a curated record.
AGACAACAGAGGCAGAGUGCAGAAACUAGUAUGGGAGGUCAGUAGUUCAGGUAAUCCACAGGAGACACAGCACAACACAAAAGGACGGGCAUGGGGUAAACCCAGAGGCUGGUGCAACAGCUAUAUUACAAUGAUCAAGAUAGAAGCAGAUGAAAAGGAGAGAAAAACAGAAAUAACUGGUUAAAACCUGCCAGACAAAGCUAUUGAAAGCAUAUUCCUUGUAUCUGAGUACCCCUUUAAGGGCUCACAGCAGCACUGAAUGAAUGAUGAAGACCAUCAGCCAUUCCAGGAGUACCAGAAGAGUACAACAGUCUCCUGCUCCCGUGAAGAACUGCUUAAGAAUUUAUGGUUUACAUUUUGCAAUGUUCAAAGUAUGGAGCUUUUAUGACUGUUCUGAGGCCAUUAAAUGGG